This 255-nucleotide ribosomal RNA is filed under the name uncultured bacterium. RNAcentral's name for it is "partial 16S ribosomal RNA". It matches the Rfam family "Bacterial small subunit ribosomal RNA", at positions 524 to 776 of the family's 1533-position model. The record is from RNAcentral.
UACGUAGGGUCCGAGCGUUGUCCGGAAUUACUGGGCGUAAAGAGCUCGUAGGUGGUUUGUCGCGUUGUUCGUGAAAACUCACAGCUCAACUGUGGGCGUGCGGGCGAUACGGGCAGACUAGAGUACUGCAGGGGAGACUGGAAUUCCUGGUGUAGCGGUGGAAUGCGCAGAUAUCAGGAGGAACACCGGUGGCGAAGGCGGGUCUCUGGGCAGUAACUGACGCUGAGGAGCGAAAAGCGUGGGGGAGCGAACAGG